AUUGAACGCUGGCGGAAUGCUUUACACAUGCAAGUCGAACGGCAGCACGGACUUCGGUCUGGUGGCGAGUGGCGAACGGGUGAGUAAUACAUCGGAACGUGCCCAGUCGUGGGGGAUAACGUAGCGAAAGCUACGCUAAUACCGCAUACGAUCUAAGGAUGAAAGCGGGGGAUCGCAAGACCUGGCGCGAUUGGAGCGGCCGAUGGCAGAUUAGGUAGUUGGUAGGGUAAAGGCUUACCAAGCCGACGAUCUGUGGCUGGUCUGAGAGGAUGAUCAGCCACACUGGGACUGAGACACGGCCCAGACUCCUACGGGAGGCAGCAGUGGGGAAUUUUGGACAAUGGGCGCAAGCCUGAUCCAGCCAUUCCGCGUGCAGGAUGAAGGCCUUCGGGUUGUAAACUGCUUUUGUACAGAACGAAAAGGCUCUGGUUAAUACCCGGGGCUCAUGACGGUACUGUAAGAAUAAGCACCGGCUAACUACGUGCCAGCCGCCGCGGUAA
This 500-nucleotide ribosomal RNA is filed under the name uncultured bacterium. RNAcentral describes it as "partial 16S ribosomal RNA". It matches the Rfam family "Bacterial small subunit ribosomal RNA", at positions 30 to 523 of the family's 1533-position model. The record is from RNAcentral.